Molecule: long non-coding RNA, 675 nt
Organism: Canis lupus familiaris (dog)
Lineage: Eukaryota; Metazoa; Chordata; Mammalia; Carnivora; Canidae
Exons: 3
Source: RefSeq, a predicted model, not a curated record
CAGGACUCCAAGCACCACUACCAAUUGAUCACAGUUAACAAUUCAAGAUGAAAGCAAUUUUCUUCUCUGGUUUAAAAUGGGAGGACUGGGCAGAGAGAAGUUAAGUGACCGCCCAGAGCAAGAGCUGGAAUCAGAGACUGCCCAGGCCCUCUACUCUCAUCCUUAACCACUGAGACAUCCUGGCUCUGUCACUCUGACUUCCUGCACACACCAGGCCUGCCAACUACUUUAACAGCCAGUGACAGACGAAUCAUUAUGAGCUGCUAUGUAGGGAAAAGAAAAUAUAAGCCAGAUUCUCAUCCUAUAUAACUCUAGGGGAACUUUAAAUUGCCAGAUGUCAAUCUGGAACCUUUCCUGAGUGCUAAGCUCUCAUGCACAGAUGGGAAAGCACGAUUCCCUAUAGAGGGUUGAACUUUAAGGAUAUACUCAAGGUAGACCUCAAGUCCAGAACACAGGAAUGGCACAUCGCUCUCCAUGGGUUGAAAGUGGCCCCUUGCUAGAUGUCUUUUAACAUUUCCAGAGUCCAAAUCUCAUCUCCUGAGAUGCUCUAUCCAGCUCAUUUGCCUACUCCAGUUUUCCAAGGUGAAUAUAAGAACAAAGAAUAUCCAAGGAGCAUCUGGACUCUUCAGACUUGAGAUUCAUAUGCAUUUCAUUUUCUCCAUAUUGGCAGGUAAG